UCCACGCGCACCUCCCCGGCCGAAAUCGACGGCGCCCCACUGCUCCGCCCCGAGGAGACAGGCGUACGAGCGACGGAAGUACCGCACCACCGGCAGCGCAGAGGAAGAGAGAGGCGCAGCCAAAGCACCCUCGCCGCCCGCCUCCUCCCCCCCGCCGGCCGCAGUUUCUCGCCGCCGCGCCGCCAACGCCCUGCUCGACCCCCGCGCGUGAUCACGGAUCAAGGGUAGUUGGUACUGGUAGCUUGGUAUAGAUCAUGGUGCUAUUGUGUUUGAUAAGUUAUGAAAGGCUAAGGACACCUUUUUGUAUGUCGGGAGUACCUUUCAAAGUAUCAACCAUACGCGCUGAGGUGCUGCUCAAUGAGACAUUGUUGGAGACAUUCUAGAUCGUCCCUAAGUUGUUAAAGAGAGACUUGUGCUCCCGAACAUAGCAGCCAGCCUGUGAAGGAGGAAAGUGCAGCAGUACUCUUCACAAGGCCUAUUGACUCAUCCUCACCAGCAAAUGUGUCAUAGAGAUGCAUCCAAUAAUACAGCUCAUACGUCCAAGAAGACACAGGAUAUAAACAAAGCGAAUUAAAGUGCAUAUGCCACAUAAGUUGAAACGGCAUGGUUUUUGGAGCAAUUAGCACAUCCCCGCUUGUUUCGUAUCGCAACGAUUAAAACCAACCGGUGCGUGUGUGCCCGUGGGGGUUAAUGUCACCAUCUGUUCCUCCUCCAUGCAGGACUUGCGGUUGGGCCGAGAUAAACCGACUUUUAGCACCUUGAGCCAAGAGAAAGCUCGCUCACUGAAGCACUCCGGGCGACCCUGCUGCCAUGGUGCAUGCAUUAUCUAGAAGGGGGUGGGAGAUAAGGGACGGCAGCGGCGUGGCGAUUAGCAAGGCUGGCAUUAGAAGAUCACGGGGGUAGGGCGAGUUUGACGAAUGAACGGGAGGGCAUCUUUUCCGGGGUCCCCAACAGGACAUAGGUCCACCCCCUCCCUCCCUCCCUCCCUACAGCACCACACAGGCACAGGCCCAAGGUGACUUACUCGCCCACUUUUCAAUUCAUCCCUUCCAAUUGGGCUUACGAUAAUACUAUUGUUACGAUCAGCAGCAUUAUGCAUGAGAGAGAAAGAGGAGAGAGAGAGAGAGAGAGAGAGAGAGAGAGAGAGAGAGAGAGGGAGAGGGAGAGGCGUUAAAUUUGUGAUGCAUGGGUCCUGCCGUCCUGGCGAUGAUGAACGAAUGAUCGGUACAGCCGGGAUUCAAGAGGGCUAAAAGAAGAGAUCAGAACAGGACGGACGGCAUCCCAUAGUACGCCCGGCGGGCCCGUCGAAGCCAACACUGGUGCACGCGUACCUUUCGUCUCAUUUCCUCUCCCCUCGUCUCCUCCUCUCUAGUCUCCAGAAGAGAGAAAAGAAGAGGGAGGAGAGAGAGUCGUAGGACACUGGGCCGUCGUCGGUAGGGGUGGGGGUACCGUCCAACCCAAUCCAAUCCACCCAUCCAUUGCUCCCAUGUAGACACAGUCAGUGGCUGGCUACCCAUCGAUGGAUGGAGCGAACGAUGCAGCUAGCGAGGCUGCUAGGGGGCCAAAGGGGAAAAGGGACCACGUCUCCCGCGCGCGCGUGUGUGCCAACCAACUCGACGCGCACUCGCGCUAUAGGCUGCUAAGCUACUGUACAAACCUCCUACGAAUGAGUAUGUUCAUGUCGCAAAUAGUUGGCAGCUGCCCUGGGCCUGGGGUAGCUACCCGGCCACUUCCCCUUGCCCGCUCUCUCGCUCGAUUCCCCGUUGAAUUCGGACGGACCAUGGAUGAAACGCUUGAAAGUUGCCUUCAAUUCAUACGGCGAAACUUUAACGACGAUGCGACGCGGAACCCGGUGAAACUUCUCUCAAACAUGUGCGUGCAGAUACAUCUUUAUCUUUCUGUAUGCAUAUCUGUUCUUUUGGUAGAAUAUAAUCUAUCUGUAUGUGUACAAGAUGCUUUAUUUUACGUGGUCGGAGCAAGUGAAUACUGCUGUCGCCCCUUUUUAGCCGUGUUUCGUCCCUGUCCGUGGCUAGCUGUCAGCCGUGCGCGCGUGUGUGUGGUAUCCAUGCGUCCGUAGCCAAUUCUGCGCCUCCUGUAUCCCACAUAACCCCAAUGCAUGCCUCUGUGGAAUGCAUGCAUGUGGGCGCUAUAGAAUGGCGUAAUCGGCAAGAAUCUGGGGUAACAUGGCCUGCUUGCCAUAGGUUUGCGGCAAGGAGUGCUGUUUAAGUACAAGAGGACAUUCAUUCCACGCCACACAAACACACACGAAUGCCACUCUACUAAACAUGCUACAAAUACUACUCGCAUAGCGUGGGCACGCGCUUUACCGCCCUGAUUAAAAUACCUGAUGUAGUCAUUUCAAUUUGUUUUCGCAUGGCUUUGCCUCUUGUUUUUGCCGUUUGUGUACCUUGGUGGCCAAUUUGAACAAUUCCGAUGUUCUCGGUUCUGAGUCCUGCAACUAUGUGAAGAUUUUAGGGGUUUUCUGACCGUGCUUAAUCGAACGGUCCUCUUGCCAUUUCUCCUUCUCAUGCACCCUGAAAGAAACGGUAUCUACUUUUGUGUGAAGUGGAUGCGUUUUGGGAUAUAUGUGACAGCUCAUGGACAAUUUCCGCAUGCACGCCCACUUCUCCACCGAUCCAGUCCAGCAGUUAGAAUCACCUUUUUAAUCAACUAUAAAUUGUUCGUCAAAGACUACACCAGGAUUGCCCAACCAUUUGUAGCUCUAGCUUACCUUCCUAAUGUAGUCUAUCCAGGAUUAAAAAGUGUAAUUAAGGACGAGAUCCAUGCAUGCCUCUCUCGCCCGUUGUCCUUUUCAUGGCAAACAAAUGGUCUAUAUGAAUUUGCUUUCAUGUGGUAUUCUGGAGAAUUUGCUUUCAUGCGAUUGGCAUCACUUUCUCCAGCCUAGUAUAUCCAUGUAGCUUGAAAAGAGCCCGACCUUAAUUCUAUUCUAGUCUCUUUCUUUCUCCCUUCACUCUCAGCGAUAGACACCCGCAAAACCAGUAAUAGAUGUUGCAUUCUUGGUAAAAGGCGACAUCAUGUGUAAAUGUCCUCUAAUCGCAAGAAACUGCCCAUGGUUGACACUUCUUUUCCAUUCCAAUAUGGUAAUAUGAAAUAUCUGUUAUAAUAUUAUUACAUCCAAGUUACAUAUACAGUGUUGUGAAAGCUUUAUAUGGAAUUCAAGAUUCUAUUAUAUUCUCAAUAUGAGGUUAAAAAGGUUUCCACAUUUGCUUUGACAUGCUAAAAUUAAUUGUAAAAAGGAGAGAGCUACAUUAUUCAUUCUAUGGGCAUAGGUUCUAAGUUAAGAUGGAGUUUAGUUAGAUGCACAUAGAGACUCAUAUCUCUUAUACAAAUAGUAGAUUUUUAUAAGAGGUAUACAAAGAGUAAGAAUGCAUCUACGUUCAAUGAACAUGUCUUUCUGAUCCGCUUUGGCCAUCACAAAAUGCAAAUAGGCUUGCUAACGGAGUUCACUGUGGUCACUAUAUGCAUCUACUAUGGUCACUAGCCCACAUGUUAGCCUCGUCCACCCUCCAUCCCCAUAACUCUUUGUGCUCUCUUGCCAUGAUGCCAUCACGUCGUUUGAUUUAGGAUUGUGGCACCAGUGAGACGCUGCUCGUGUAGCACUACAUCCAAUGACUCUAUGCUCCUUAGUUUUAAGCUUCCACCCAUCCAUCACCAUUAACAAUUAACAAGAAAUGUGCAGGAGACAGGAAAAAGGAGAUGUAUAGGUCACCGAUGAAUCAAAUUGCUAAAUAAGGUGAGCUUUCUUGCCCUAGAUAUUGGGCAACACAACAACACAUUCGCCUGCAAGACCUAUGUUUAAUGAUGUCACUGGUAUGCGCCUAAGGAUAAGGAGUCAGGGGCAAGGGUGCUGACGCAAACAUGUUGAGGAGGACAAUAUAUGCUUCAACGUGGUAGUGUUUGGAAACACACGAGAUUGACCUAGAUGUCAAUUAGCAUGAGGAUAUCAGAGAGGACAUGUAAUACUUCCUCCGGUCCUUUUUACUCUGCAUAUAAGGAUUGUCUGAAGUCAAACUUCAUAAAGUUUGACCAUAUUUAUAUGAAAAAAUAUUAACAUCUAUAAUGCUAAAUUUAUACAAUAUGAAAGUAAAGUCAUGAUACAUCUAAUGUUGUUGAUUUCACAUUUUAAAUGUUUGUAUUUUUUUCUAUAAACUUGGUCAAAGUUUACGAAGUUUGACUUCAGACAAAUCUUAUAUGCGAACUAAAAAGGACCGAAGGGAGUACAACCUGUUACAUCCGCCCAUGCCAAGGUAUCGUGCUGGCAUGGAUGGGCAUCAGCGACAUAGCAAGAGUGGCACAAGCGCCCUUGGGUGAGGGCGUGGCAGAGAGCGUGCACUGUAAAGGCGGUUGCUUCGCUUAGGCCUCCAUGAGCUCCGUGGCUGCCUGGCUGCAGAGAGAGGGUAAGGAAGAAUCUGACGUGUGGGGCCCUUCUAAUGUAAAUACACUACUAUGUAUAGGAGGUGUGCUAGUGACCGUAUUGGACCUCUGAAGCGUAGUGACCAUAUAUAUUCUGCAAUUUCCUGUAUACAAUGGCCAAAUUGAUUGAGAUGAAGUGGUUCGUUGAUGAUAGAUGAACCUUAUACUCUCAAGAGAAAAUACAACUACCCCCCAACAAAGAAAUGACAUUUAUGCAUGAAAUGCAACUGUGUCUUUACUCUUUAGACAUACACGUUGUUUGUGGGCAGAGCUUAGCUAGUUAAGAAAACGAUAACAAGUCGUAUGUAAGCUAAUUAUGCUAUACAUGCUAGUACAAAGAAUGUAGAAUACACAAUUGUUCUUCGUGUAAUAUUAGAGUAUAUACGUACCAACCGACAGAUUCCCUCCCAUCUCUCUCCUCUCGUCUAUGCAUAACCUCCUAAUUAUGGUCAACAUGUAAGUUAAGAUAACAAAAUAACACAAUUUCGGAGUGGCAAAAGGCUGCAAAUGCAUGAUUAGUUAGUUGUCAGUGUUGGGGGGUCCAAAUUACCCUACUACUUUUAGCAGGACAUGACAGCAGACAGCACGGCUGGGCUCCAUUUCCACGAUAACAUCACUUUCCAUGAUCCCCUUUUAAUUUGUAUGAACAAAACCUAAUUAAUGCUGUGCCGGAUAUGUACAUGCAUGACUGCAACUCGCACUACCACUCUAGUCUCCGAGAUCUUAUUCGUAUAGUCAAGCUAAGCGCAAACUGUGGCACGAGAGAGAGCUACGUCACCGUAUUUUCAGAUACACGUAAGAAAGCCAUAUAGUGUGCAUCAUACCUAUAGCACAACCCUUAGACUUUUUUGCCAACAAUUUGUUUCAAAAGGUUUGCAUGUAUACUCUUUCACCAUUGAUGAUAAUACAAGAUUCACUCAUGCUCCAGUCCUGUACAACACAUUCUAGUCCACACAAUUGGGUUAUCGAUAUCUAUCCUGCUACUACCUCCGUUUCAGUUUACAAGUCCUACGCGUAUACCUAGGUUGCCAAUUUUAUCACCUUAAUAUAAACUAUAUAACACAGAAAUUAUACGGUUUGAAAAUAGAACACUUGAAGUUUAUAUUGGUAUAUUUUUUGUAAUAUAUGACUUGUAUUAGGUUGGUCAAAUUGACGACCUAGGAGCACGUGCACGCCAUGUAAACUGAGAGAGAGGAAGUAGUACUUAUAUUCAUCUUAAUUAUGCUAAAAUCCUUGAUUAAUUAUGGCUGUGGUUAACCCGCAAGCCCUGGCCACCCUUGUUGACAAGCCAUCAAUUAAUUAAGAGGGUCCAAUCCGUAAUAAUACUAAUUAAUCUCCUGUCCCUACUUGAUGUGAGGCCGCACCUUCCACGCAUAUGGUCCCCCCAUGCAUCAUGCAUGAGUGUCACUCGUAGUGUAGCGCUUUUAGCAGCUAGCUGCCGCUAGCGUACCAGUGCACAGUUUUCUUCUUAGUUUCUUUCCAGUGUCACCAUACAUGCCCUGUCUGUGCAUGUAUCCGUCGACAUCCGUGUAAUCCCGUCAAUCCCUUCAUGCGUGUAUACAUCACGUACGCUGUCCUACGAAAAUUGUAUGUAUCACGCACGUACACGUACACGUACGAUGACACACAUCAGUGUGCUCGCUCGUACACCGGCCUGUCCUGCUGGCAAACGUUGAUACGUACAUACGCGCAUUUUACCUAUGCACGUACUCUACCUACCACUGUAAAUACUUUAAAAGUAUGAAUGCGUAUUGUUGUAUCUUUUGCUGGCUGCCCAGCCGUGUUAAUAGUUCUUUGCAGGUCUGUAUGCUUGUGUAUUGUUGUACUUGUUGUAUAGCUGGUGUACGCCCACGCGCGUGCAAUAUGCAUUAUGAAGAUCACAUGCAUGAUAUCUACAUGCGUGGUCCAUUCUCUCCAUCUUUGUUGGAAAUUUUGCACGGUCCAUUCCUUUUCGUCUGCAUAUCCUCAAGGCUAGCUAAGAUCACAACUGUCCAUUGGUGUAGCUCGAAGAGGGAGUGUCACAACUGUUCAUUGGUGUAGCUCGAAGAGGGAGUGUCACAACUGUCCAUUGGUGUAGCUCGAAGAGGGAGUGUACGCGUGGCCUCCAGUAGUAUACGUAGCUAUAGUAUCCUCCUGCCAUGCACGCCGGCCAGUGUCUUGUUCAGACGUCGUUUUUCCUGUCCAAGAGUAUCUCCAUCGGGUCCUAGGAUGAGUGCUUACAAAUAAAAGAUGCCAGCUAUGAAUGGUCUAGCUUUUCUUGCUAGCUGCUAGCUAAUUGAUACGUAUGCAUGCGCAUGGGCAUAUUCCACGUUGCCCAAUAUUCAUCAAGAAUUAUGGGACAGGCAAUUCAUCCAACCCUGUUUAGUUAUAACACAAUAAUUUCACAUGCAUGAAAAUGUUCAAUUCCCAUCCCAUAAGACCCACAAAAUAAAACAGACCAUUACAUCGAAACCUUAUGAAAAAAAGCUGGCAACACAUUGUUUGUGCUACAUCUUAUUUCGUUGGUUGCGACCAUGAUGCAUUGAUGCCCACCUUGAUUAUUUCUGCCGCCUGCAACUAGUGUACAUGUUAAUUAAUUAUCUGCUUUAAACACAUGGCCAUUGAUGCUAAAAUGACUGUAUGUUAUGUUCUCUUCACAAAACCAUUAU
Molecule: long non-coding RNA, 7082 nt
Organism: Triticum urartu
Lineage: Eukaryota; Viridiplantae; Streptophyta; Magnoliopsida; Poales; Poaceae
Source: RefSeq, a predicted model, not a curated record